Molecule: ribosomal RNA, 254 nt
Filed under: uncultured bacterium
Lineage: Bacteria
Description: partial 16S ribosomal RNA
Rfam family: Bacterial small subunit ribosomal RNA
Source: RNAcentral
UACGUAGGGGGCGAGCGUUGUCCGGAUUUAUUGGGCGUAAAGAGCUCGUAGGCGGCUUGGCAAGUCGGGUGUGAAACCUCCAGGCUCAACCUGGAGACGCCACUCGAUACUGCCAUGGCUAGAGUCCGGUAGGGGACCACGGAAUUCCUGGUGUAGCGGUGAAAUGCGCAGAUAUCAGGAGGAACACCGGUGGCGAAGGCGGCUACCUGGACCGGUUCUGACGCUGAGGCGCGAAAGCGUGGGUAGCAAACAGG